GCCAAGCAAGGAAGAGAGAGAAAGAAAGGAAGAACAAAAGGGAAAAACAAGAAAACCUAGGUGGAAAUUCAAAGAAAAAGUGAAGAAAUCAAGGAAACAAGCUAGGUAAGUUAAAAUUUCUUUAGUUCUCCUUGAUACCUAGCUUACCCAUUCUUUUGUUCUUGAUUUUCAUGGUUGAAUAUUGAGUUAUUAUGAUGAAUUCAAUUCUGAAAAAUGGGUAUGGAAGAGGAAUUGUUGUUAGAUUAAUUUGAUUUUAAGUUAUGUUAGUGUUUUUAGUUAGUUUAGCAUAUUUAGGAAUAAAACAACAAGAAAAGAAUUUAUUUUCCUCCAUUACCAUUAUUGGCCGAAUUUUCUAGGGGAAUAUUGGCUGAUAAUCUUGAUGUUUAUUUGAGGAAUUAUGAUGAAUAAUGAUGAAUUAUGAGCCUAGAAAAAUAAUGGAAAUUUUCGGAGGAAAAAUAUGAAUUUUUACCCACUAGGGGUAUUUUCGUAAUUUACUAUCAGGACUGAUAAAUUGAAUCUCAUUCACAGUCACUAAGGUAAUUUAAGUAUAAUUGGAGUGUAAAAAGUGAGAAAAAUUAAUUUGGAGUUAAAUUGGAGAUAAUAGGCCGAAUUAGGUCAGCACCGCAUUUAAGCGGUAGUCGGAUAAGUUGUUUAUCAUAUCAUGCAUAUAUACCGAGCCUAAAUUGAUUUUAUAAUGGUCAAGCAUUGAUGUGGUGAAUUAUGUAUUAUACAUUGUGGAUAGGUGGUGAGCAAAGUACACUGGUAAAAGUAUAGAGAUUGUGCUUGGAGACUGAGAUUAGGAGUACAUCGACUCCUAGAACUGUGAGUGAACUUAUUAUCGUCUUAAUUAUCUAGAGUAGUUUAUACAAUUGUGUGAUUUUAUGAAAAAUGGGUUUAAAUGGUAAAUUGCUAUGUUUUAAGAGAAAUUGUGAUUUUGUAAAAUGAUUUUAUAAAUUUUCUAAAAAAUUAAAUACUGAUUUUGAAAUAGAGUAAUUGGAGACUACCUGCUUGUGUUACAAAUUUAUGGUUUUGAAUUGAAUGGCUUAUGACAAUAAAUGAGCAUGAAUGGCUAAACUGAUUUUGGUGUUAGAAUUAUUUAUACUGUGUAUUCAGCCUUAAGAGGCUAGUUUGCGAUAAAUUGCCAUAUCAUGCUAGAAUGAAUUUUAUUGAUUGGUGGAUUAUAUAUUAAUUAUUCACUGCAGAGGGGGUUCCGUGGACUAGCCUAUUAAAGGGGUAUGGUAAACUCCAUUAUAUUCUUACCUCGAAUGGAGAGACUCGUAGGGUAUCUCAUGGGGUAAAGCUUAGGGUUCACUUCAUUCCAAACCACCACGUGAAGGGGAACUCAACCAACGCCAAGGAACGACUGUAUUUUUCUCAAACUAAAAAUAUAUUUUAAGUGUAUACAAAAAUUUUAACAGCCUUGGCGGACUCGGUUGGAUGUCCUGCGCAAGGUAUCACCGAGUAUGAGUUUUGGCAUGAGCCAAAGUUUUAAGAAAUUCAUAAGCCAAGUUGAUUUCUCGAUUUAUAUGGAUUGAUUUUAUUUGGUUGAAAUGAGUUGAAAGGUAAUGAAAUUACAGUAUGAUGACUUAUUUUAGUUGUCUCCAUUUACUCGAUUUUAGAUAGUUUAGAUGGUAUCUGUUUACUCACUGGGAUUUUAUAAUCUCACCACCCUAAUUUCCUCACAUUUCAGGCUCGAGGAAUUUCAUAGUUAGCUGACUUUGACAAGGACUUUCAAUUGGAC
This 1741-nucleotide long non-coding RNA is filed under the name Theobroma cacao (cacao). Its description in RNAcentral is "long non-coding RNA (TCAC_LNC000221)". Lineage: Eukaryota; Viridiplantae; Streptophyta; Magnoliopsida; Malvales; Malvaceae. The record is from RNAcentral.